AGCGCUGUUUUCAACUGAAUAGACGUCAGUGAUUAGUAGAAAUUAUCGAAAUAAGACAAUUUUUUACAUGAAAUAAAUUCGAAUACAAAAAUAUUUUUCUGUUCUAUGACACAAAAUAGAUAAGUAUACGAAGUUUGAAAGUCUUUCCGUACCAAAAACACUACAUAAAACAUAAAUGAAAACUGGCGCCCCCGUUUUAAAAUAGAUCCAAGGAAUCAACAAAAAAACGUACCAAAGCUUUUAUAAAAGCUCUCAAAUCCAAAAUCCUAAAGGAUCCAACCAAAUCCAUGAGAAAAAUAGCAAUUGAACUUGAAGUAGACAACAAGACCAUUAGAAAUGCAAUAAAAUAUGAUUUGAGGUUUAAAUCUUACACAAUAACACCAAAACAUUUGUUGACAACAGCUAUGAAGGAAAAGAGAGUGGAAAGGUGCAAGAAAAUUAAUACAUGGUUCAAGAAAAAGGCCUCCAUUGUAACGAUCUUUUGAAAUGAUAAAACCUUCACUGUCGAUGCUGUUCUGAACCGCAGAAAUGACAGAUUUAUCGCAAAAUCGACAGUUGAGGUUAAGGGGACAUUCAAAACAAAACAUCCUGCAAAAGUUAUGACAUUUGCCCAAGGUGCCACGCAGUGGGACUGAACCCGGAACCAUGUGUUUGAAGCCAGAGGGAUAGAAGGUAAAACUGCCAAGGAAAGGAAUGAAUUCGGAAACGUAGAAAAAAAGAAGUGAAUUGACCCAACUCUGUCGUUUUGCGUCCAUCUGUUGAAUUAACAUAACCUGUUAUUGAUCGACAGGAUCAGAAUAAUGUUUCAGUUCAUACCAGUUCAAUUACAUUAGAGAUGAUUCGUGUAUUUUCUUCACCAUCUGUGAACUGGUCACAUCUCUAAUCGCCAUUAUACAGUGCAUAAGAAAAGAAAAGAAAAAUUUAAAUAAGAAAUAAAUCAUUGGAAAACGUACACACGUCUUUCUUCAUAUUUUAUCUCUUUCUCUCUUUUUGUAUCCAUCAAUAAUUGGUGAUUCGAUACUCGUGUUAUGAAUAUGUAAAAGAAAAGACACCUGUACACAUGAAAUAGUCGAUGUUUACAUAGGAUUUCACUUUUUUAUGAGUUUGAUAACAGAAAGUUACCAGUUGUUUUAAUUACUUACAAAUAAUAUAAAACUAUCAUACAAGAUUAGUUGAAAAAUCCUUAUUGAUGUUAUCUUAAACGAGCUCUUUAAUACUGUGACUUUCUCUAGUAUUACGAUUUAACAGAGAAGACUGCUAACAGCUUGAAAGACAACUGAGAUAAGACUUUUACCUGGAGACCGUCUUAGUGCUGAACAUGAAAUUUUUUAUUGUCUUGAUGUUAUAUAACUUCCUAACAAGUCUUGUACAAGGAACCACUGCAAAAAAGAAGGUAGACACCAGCCCAGUUAUUGUAGAUGGCAAACUCUCUGAAGAAGGUCAUUGGCCCUGGAUGGUCUCCAUUACUGCGAAACACAGACGGAAAAUAUUCAACUGUGGAGGCAUGCUUAUUACUAAAUAUUGGGUCCUCACAGCGGCACAUUGUCUUUAUGUCAAUGAAAU
Molecule: long non-coding RNA, 1563 nt
Organism: Octopus bimaculoides (California two-spot octopus)
Lineage: Eukaryota; Metazoa; Mollusca; Cephalopoda; Octopoda; Octopodidae
Source: RefSeq, a predicted model, not a curated record